CUCACCAGUGACAUCAUCCUACAGUGGUGCCCCUCUCACCAGAUUGCGUCUUAUAGGAUUCGUGAAGGGCAUAUCUUCUGGGCCUUCCCAUUGUGGAGGAUUAGGUUUUACACAACCUAUCUACUCUGGCAUUGCAAUUUCCCUGAGCCUUGUGACUUCAUUCUGGGUUCAGGUAAAUUGCAGCUACUUCACACCUGGUAGGUCUGAGACAAGCCUGUGAGAAGGAAACAGAGGACAAACACUGUGGAGCACAGUUGUUAGCUGGCACAUCUUCCUCAGUGGAACGGUGGAAAAACAAAACAAAAACCACGCAUGUACACACGGCUAUAUUACUAAAGAUUCUAUUAAUGAACAGAACUGAUAGAAUGAAUCUCUGUAUGCAUGUUGAAAGCGGAUUUACUAGAAUGUCUCACUAACAGUGGCUGUCUACCAACGGAAAGUUGAAGAAUCCAGUGUGGUUCAGUCUAUGUGGCUGGAUGUCUGUCUGUCUUCAGUAUAUACCAGAGUUUCAAAGAAGUAGGGCUUUUUAAUGCCAGAAAAGAAAAGAAAAGAGAGAAAGAAAGAAAGAAGAA
Molecule: long non-coding RNA, 572 nt
Filed under: Rattus norvegicus (Norway rat)
Lineage: Eukaryota; Metazoa; Chordata; Mammalia; Rodentia; Muridae
Description: long non-coding RNA NONRATT006392
Source: RNAcentral